Eufriesea mexicana is the source of this 272-nucleotide long non-coding RNA. RefSeq lists it as uncharacterized. The transcript has 3 exons. The record is from RefSeq and is a predicted model, not a curated record. Lineage: Eukaryota; Metazoa; Arthropoda; Insecta; Hymenoptera; Apidae.
UUGCAACUUGCACUUUUACGGUCUUGUAUGGAAGGAACUAUUCGAACUAGUCAUCACGAUAUAACGAGACUUUAAAGCAACGAGUAGCGACACUAAUUGAUAUAGUGACAUUCAUGGGCGCAUUCUACAUUUUCUGAUAGGAACUAAAGUCAAAGUAUACUUCUCACAUCGACUUGCUGUAAGUUAAAUCACAACGAAAAAGCUUUAAGUAACUGUCAAACGGCCUAUUUUAUGAAGCAAUAAUUAUUGCCCCACCCUGUAUAGACACGGGC